GCUGGGUGCGGUGGCGCACCCCUGUAAUCCAAGUGGCUCAGGAGGCUGAGGCAGGAGGAUUGAGAGUUCAAAGCCAGACUCAGCAAAAAGCGAGGCGCUAAGCCACUCAGUGAGACUUUGUCUCUA
This 126-nucleotide small RNA is filed under the name Marmota monax (woodchuck). Lineage: Eukaryota; Metazoa; Chordata; Mammalia; Rodentia; Sciuridae. The record is from RNAcentral.